GAUGAACGCUGGCGGCGUGCUUAACACAUGCAAGUCGAACGGAAAGGCCUCUGCUUGCUGGGGUACUCGAGUGGCGAACGGGUGAGUAACACGUGGGUGAUCUGCCCUGCACUUCGGGAGAAGCCUGGGAAACUGGGCCUAAUAUCGGAUAGGACAAGGGUUUGGAUGGUGUGGUGGAAAGCUUUGCGGUGUGGGAUGAGCUCGCGGCCUAUCAGCUUGUUGGUGGGGUAAUGGCCUACCAAGUCGUCGACGGGUAGCCGGCCGGAGAGGGUGUAGGGCCACUUUAGGCCUGAGAGACGGGCCGGACUCCGACGUGUGGCAGCAGUGGGGAAUGUUGGACCCAGCGCGCCCGCGUGGUGCAGCGACGCCGCGUGGGUGUUAACGGCCUUCGGGUGGUAAGCACCUUUCGCUGGUGAUGCCGCGUUUUUGUGACGGUACCUGGAGAAGAAGCACCGGCUAACUACGUG
This 467-nucleotide ribosomal RNA is filed under the name uncultured bacterium. RNAcentral describes it as "partial 16S ribosomal RNA". It matches the Rfam family "Bacterial small subunit ribosomal RNA", at positions 28 to 507 of the family's 1533-position model. The record is from RNAcentral.